UACGUAGGGUGCAAGCGUUAAUCGGAAUUACUGGGCGUAAAGCGUGCGCAGGCGGUUAUGCAAGACAGAGGUGAAAUCCCCGGGCUCAACCUGGGAACUGCAUCCGAGACUGCAUUGCUAGAGUAUGGGAGAGGGAAGCGGAAUUUCUGGUGUAGCAGUGAAAUGCGUAGAUAUCAGAAGGAACAUCAGUGGCGAAGGCGGCUUCCUGGACCAAUACUGACGAUCAGGUGCGAAAGCGUGGGGAGCAAACAGG
Molecule: ribosomal RNA, 253 nt
Filed under: uncultured bacterium
Lineage: Bacteria
Description: partial 16S ribosomal RNA
Rfam family: Bacterial small subunit ribosomal RNA
Source: RNAcentral